RNAcentral lists this long non-coding RNA (203 nucleotides) under Mytilus galloprovincialis (Mediterranean mussel). Lineage: Eukaryota; Metazoa; Mollusca; Bivalvia; Mytilida; Mytilidae. The record is from RNAcentral.
GCGGGAGUUUGACGUCACAGAUUUGACCAACAUCUGUGAUGUAGUAAUUAAAUAUAGACAAAGCUCCGCCUCCCUCCAGACAGUCUAAGAUAAGAGAAUAACAGGAAUAACCAGCUGCAUAUAAACAAUUUUUAACACUAUUAAAUUCAUUAUUAAGAAUGAUUUCAUUUGUAUUUUAAAAAGAAAUAUACUAUGAAAUUAGC